RNAcentral lists this ribosomal RNA (154 nucleotides) under uncultured Pyronemataceae. RNAcentral's name for it is "5.8S ribosomal RNA". It matches the Rfam family "5.8S ribosomal RNA". From Rfam's summary of the family: 5.8S ribosomal RNA (5.8S rRNA) is a component of the large subunit of the eukaryotic ribosome. It is transcribed by RNA polymerase I as part of the 45S precursor that also contains 18S and 28S rRNA. The record is from RNAcentral. Lineage: Eukaryota; Fungi; Ascomycota; Pezizomycetes; Pezizales; Pyronemataceae.
AACUUUCAACAACGGAUCUCUUGGUUCUCGCAUCGAUGAAGAACGCAGCGAAAUGCGAUAAGUAGUGUGAAUUGCAGAAUUCCGUGAAUCAUCGAAUCUUUGAACGCACAUUGCGCCUCCUGGUAUUCCGGGAGGCAUGCCUGUUCGAGCGUCA